This is an RNA transcript of Lolium rigidum, 2665 nucleotides long. RefSeq lists it as uncharacterized. The transcript is spliced from 7 exons. The record is from RefSeq and is a predicted model, not a curated record. Lineage: Eukaryota; Viridiplantae; Streptophyta; Magnoliopsida; Poales; Poaceae.
GCUCCCCGAGCACCGAGCUCGUCAUGGCGGCGAACGAUCAGCCGGCGGCGGUGCCCCAUGAGGUGGCUAGGCCGCCACCAUCCUCCACCCCAUCAACUUCCCCAUCCUCCACACUUGUAACUUUCUGGCGGUUGAUGCGGGAGAGAGCAGGCGUCAUAUGAGGAUGGGGAUCUUGACCGAGGCAGAGAAGCAGCAAAAGGAAGAGGUGAACUGGAAGCCGAUUCUUCUCCGGCCACCGACCUCACGUCGCAGAUCACGGGCCGCCGCCGCAUCGCGCGAGGUGGCGAGUCUCUGCCACCGUCCAUGCUCCUCUUCAUGGACUUCUCCUCAUGGCUGAGCUAUGUCGCUUCUCCUCAUUAAGAUUCGGCCUCUUCCUCCCCCACAACUGAGGUAAUGGUAUCUCUCCCCCUCUCAGUUCUGAUAUCUUUUCUUCAUUUAGAUCUCUGGACUCAUGUAAGAUCUAUCUGAAAACUAGAUCCGAACAUUGUGACUAUGAAUAUGUUUGGCUUAGUCUGUUGUGUCAGUGCUUGACAGAUAUUGCAGUAUGAUGUACAAAUUAUACUGUAGGAGGUAGAUGAAGACAUUCAGGUGAGCUAUUUUCUCACUAAUUAUCUGCUAUUUGUUUUCUUAAUCAUGAGACUGAAUAUUUGUGUCUGAUACGGGAAUCAACAUAGGUCUAGAAAAAAGAGAGAUUGCCUCUAGAAAAAGGUGGCUCCACAAUUAGUCAAUACACCUUUAGGAUUAUAGAGCUAGUGAGCACGUCAGGUUUUUGUUAGAAUUUCAGUAGCUUUGCUUUAGCAUUUAGUUAAGACUCAUAUUUUCCUAUAUAUUUUGUUGGCAUUUUAUGGUCUAUCAUGAGCUCAAAGAAGCCUGAUGGUGUUCUUUUUUCAUGCCCGACUGAGAUGACUGAAUCUGUACUCCUGUAUGUGGACAGAGACACAUGUGCAGAACCUGUGAUGGAAAAUGCUCUGGGUAGUUUAUCAUAUCAAAGCUUGUAAUUAUGCUUCCUGGACUGCUGGGGCAUCCAGCCUGUGUCUGCUUUCCGCGUCAUUUCUUCAGCAACAAUCAAUAUAGGUUUCAUGACAUCCCCUACAGGGAACAAUCAGAGGGAAAACUUGAAGACGCUUUAGGUUAUAUGGAGGAUGAUUCAUGUGGUCAAGUGUAUGGCGAGAUUGUGAUGAUGAAUUGAUGACUGCAUGUAUUGAGCCGCUCUCAUGUUCAUUCAUGAGAUUCAGUUCACAAGGUUCUUUGAAUUAAACUAAUAUACUCAUGACAGGCAAAUAUUUCUCAGGUGGAGGAGAUCCCAGCAGUUGACUUGCAGUGUGGAAGAAGGGCAUGAAGAUCAAGGAAGGGACCUGCUGCAUACAAUCACGCCAGACCUGGUGUUCAUCAUCGAUGAUAAGUCGCACAAGGUGUUCACCCGGUACGGAAACUACUUGGUGACCAUGCAUAAUCACAAAGCAAAGGAUUUCCUAUGUGGUUAUGUUAUUUCCCCUUUUGGCUAACGACAACUUUUGUGUUCUUUUAAUUUUGUUUGCUGAUCUACUUGUGCGGAUAAAUUACUGUCAGGUGACCAACUUGGAUGUUAUUAUUCUUAUUUUUAGCAUACGGUAAAUUUAUUUUCUCUUGCUAUGUGCUAUUGUGCAAUUAUACACGAUAUGCGUGUGUGUGUGUAGUAGCACCACUGUUGAGGAAAAUUUUCAGUUCCUUUAUUCAGAACCAUUGCUGCAUGUGGUUUACGAAUUCUUUGAAACAAUGUAACGUGCUUCCUUUUCCUUCUGUAUGCACUUAUUAUCAUUUGCUUGAGCUACAAUUUUGGAUGAUCACUGUCUCAUCACGACUUAGUUUACAGUUUGAUCUUAUUAGAAACUUCUUGCAUUCACUUGCCCUAUAUUUUGUGGGCGACGUCACGCGAGGAGAUUGGUUGGGUGGCGUGAAUGGAGAUACAGGUUCUGGAUUAUUUUAGAUAGUGCUAGGAAUUAUUUAGCCAGCUCUACAUUUUAGCGUGCUCCUUCAUUCUAUAUUAUUUACUGUCGUGCACAUGUGGUGACGAAGGAAGAGCAAAUUAUUUUGUACAAAGGAACAUAAUACUCCUACUAACAAUCACAGCUACUCUCAAUUUCACUGUCGAUCUGCUCUUUCAGGUGUUGCCGGAUUGGCUCAAUUCUUCCUCACGCGUCGUUGGAAGGCUUCGUUGCGUCUCGCCGAAAGGUUGUCAGCCUAAUGGAGGUUGUUGAGAAGACUGUCGAGAUCCUGCCGGUGUCAUGCUGGAAGCUAUGCUGCAGAAGCUGCACCUUUUGGCGGUGCAACUACCUAUUAGAAUUAGUUUGUGUGUGUGUGCGCGCGCUCGCUCGCUCGCAGUGGCCUCUAAGACCGAAUUGCAGUGAUCUUAUUUAGAUGUUAUUUUUGUUAUUUUUAGCUUUAUUUCUAUUUGUCUCUGAAAAACUGCAAGUGUUAACAUAUUUUGCUAUUUUCCUAAUUGCGUGUACGCAUUGUUGUUCCAUUAUGAUUUCAUGUGUUUAACUUAUCGACUUUGUUUUAUAAAUCCUAUAAAAACAUAUUUCCAUUUCCAUUUACAUGUUGAUUUGUUUGAUUUUCACGGGAUCGUUGCAUUUUUAUUUUAUUGCAGUGUUAUGAGAAGGGCAGACCAGUGAGGAUUCAGAUC